UUGGUGCAUUUGCGGGAGCU
Molecule: non-coding RNA, 20 nt
Filed under: Arabidopsis thaliana (thale cress)
Lineage: Eukaryota; Viridiplantae; Streptophyta; Magnoliopsida; Brassicales; Brassicaceae
Source: RNAcentral